GUCGCCAGGGCGCGCAUCGGAGGGGUAUGGGGGCGCUGCACCUACCCCCAACUUGGCGCGUUUCGGCCAGGACCUCAGGGCCCGGGUGCACCGUGCUGGGCGCGGGAGGCGUCCCUAAGCUGCUGUCGCGCUCCGAGCCCCCGAGGGGGUGGCAGCAGGGCCGCGCCUGAGGACAGGCAUGCAGCGUCUGCCCAGGAGUGCAGGCCCGGUGCCGGGAGAACAACCUAUUCCUCCCUCCCUCAAGCACCUUGGACAAUCUGGGAAGGCUCCCCAAAGGAGGGGCAGCAGCCUGUCUCAGCUCCAGAGUGGAACUCACGUUCACAGGCACUUGCAGGCUCGCAGGGAGGACUGGCUACGAGGAGAGCUAGGAAACCCAUCUUCUCCUGUCUGUGGGCAUCGGAACUCCGGGUUCUCCAGCCACUGCACCUUGGGACUCAUACCAGUAGCUACUCCACCACCACCAGUUUUCAGGCCUUUGGCCUCAGACUGAGAGUUACACAAUCUGUUCCCCUGGUUCUGAGGCCUUUGGGCUUGGACUGAGCCCCGCACCAGCUUCUCUAGGUCUCCAGCUUGCAGACUGCCUGUCGUGAGACUUCUCAGCCUGCAUAAUCAGAACUGUCAGGUCUCUGAGCUGAAGCUCAGCCAUUAUAACCUCUGUGACCUGCACAUACACAUCCAGGUGGCCUGCAAGAGCCAAGAAUUCUGGAGCAGCCAAGAAACCACGAAGAAGUAAAACAGCCAGUUCCUGCCUUAACUGAUUAACCAAAAUUACAACAUUUUAUCAAUGUGACUUGUCCCAUUAGGUGAUCAAUAGACUUUGUGACAUUCUUCUUCUGGACAAUAAAUCUUAUGAUCACCCUACAAUGUACCUUGUAACCCCCUCCCCUGCUAACAAUAGAUACCCACCUUUUACUGUAAUUUUCCAUUACCUACCUAACUCCUAUAAAGCAACCCCUUCCCCAUCUCCCUUCGCUGACUCUCUUUUUGGACUCAGCCCACCUGCACCCAGGUGAAUUAAAAGCUUUAUUGC
RNAcentral lists this long non-coding RNA (1030 nucleotides) under Macaca mulatta (Rhesus monkey). RNAcentral's name for it is "lncRNA (ENSMMUG00000051413.1)". Lineage: Eukaryota; Metazoa; Chordata; Mammalia; Primates; Cercopithecidae. The record is from RNAcentral.